Molecule: ribosomal RNA, 1529 nt
Filed under: Bacteroides thetaiotaomicron
Lineage: Bacteria; Pseudomonadati; Bacteroidota; Bacteroidia; Bacteroidales; Bacteroidaceae
Description: bacterial SSU rRNA
Rfam family: Bacterial small subunit ribosomal RNA
Source: RNAcentral
ACAAUGAAGAGUUUGAUCCUGGCUCAGGAUGAACGCUAGCUACAGGCUUAACACAUGCAAGUCGAGGGGCAGCAUUUCAGUUUGCUUGCAAACUGGAGAUGGCGACCGGCGCACGGGUGAGUAACACGUAUCCAACCUGCCGAUAACUCGGGGAUAGCCUUUCGAAAGAAAGAUUAAUACCCGAUGGUAUAAUCAGACCGCAUGGUCUUAUUAUUAAAGAAUUUCGGUUAUCGAUGGGGAUGCGUUCCAUUAGGCAGUUGGUGAGGUAACGGCUCACCAAACCUUCGAUGGAUAGGGGUUCUGAGAGGAAGGUCCCCCACAUUGGAACUGAGACACGGUCCAAACUCCUACGGGAGGCAGCAGUGAGGAAUAUUGGUCAAUGGGCGCAGGCCUGAACCAGCCAAGUAGCGUGAAGGAUGACUGCCCUAUGGGUUGUAAACUUCUUUUAUAUGGGAAUAAAGUUUUCCACGUGUGGAAUUUUGUAUGUACCAUAUGAAUAAGGAUCGGCUAACUCCGUGCCAGCAGCCGCGGUAAUACGGAGGAUCCGAGCGUUAUCCGGAUUUAUUGGGUUUAAAGGGAGCGUAGGUGGACAGUUAAGUCAGUUGUGAAAGUUUGCGGCUCAACCGUAAAAUUGCAGUUGAUACUGGCUGUCUUGAGUACAGUAGAGGUGGGCGGAAUUCGUGGUGUAGCGGUGAAAUGCUUAGAUAUCACGAAGAACUCCGAUUGCGAAGGCAGCUCACUGGACUGCAACUGACACUGAUGCUCGAAAGUGUGGGUAUCAAACAGGAUUAGAUACCCUGGUAGUCCACACAGUAAACGAUGAAUACUCGCUGUUUGCGAUAUACAGUAAGCGGCCAAGCGAAAGCAUUAAGUAUUCCACCUGGGGAGUACGCCGGCAACGGUGAAACUCAAAGGAAUUGACGGGGGCCCGCACAAGCGGAGGAACAUGUGGUUUAAUUCGAUGAUACGCGAGGAACCUUACCCGGGCUUAAAUUGCAUUUGAAUAUAUUGGAAACAGUAUAGCCGUAAGGCAAAUGUGAAGGUGCUGCAUGGUUGUCGUCAGCUCGUGCCGUGAGGUGUCGGCUUAAGUGCCAUAACGAGCGCAACCCUUAUCUUUAGUUACUAACAGGUCAUGCUGAGGACUCUAGAGAGACUGCCGUCGUAAGAUGUGAGGAAGGUGGGGAUGACGUCAAAUCAGCACGGCCCUUACGUCCGGGGCUACACACGUGUUACAAUGGGGGGUACAGAAGGCAGCUACCUGGUGACAGGAUGCUAAUCCCAAAAGCCUCUCUCAGUUCGGAUCGAAGUCUGCAACCCGACUUCGUGAAGCUGGAUUCGCUAGUAAUCGCGCAUCAGCCAUGGCGCGGUGAAUACGUUCCCGGGCCUUGUACACACCGCCCGUCAAGCCAUGAAAGCCGGGGGUACCUGAAGUACGUAACCGCAAGGAGCGUCCUAGGGUAAAACUGGUAAUUGGGGCUAAGUCGUAACAAGGUAGCCGUACCGGAAGGUGCGGCUGGAACACCUCCUUU